UAAUCUAAAAAAGUCACUGAAUUGAACACUCACUUGAAAUAAACAAGGCAUCGCACGAUGGGAUAACUGAAUAAGUUGUGUCAAAAGUCCUAGGUUCCCGUGCUGUUACAAAAAAGGUCUUUCAGACUUGCAUUCUCUGUCUCUUCUUUCUCGGGUAGCAUUACCAGUCUCCAAGCGGAAAGAUCAUGACUACUUCGAAACGUCUGGCAGAAAAGAAAACAGCGAAAUUUGAGAACAAUAUCACAAGGAGAGGACUGGCUCCUCAAUCAUCUAAGAAAGAAGAAUGGGAACCUGCACACAUGGUUCUUGUCCUCUUUGCAGUUCUGAUACUAUUGUCAUUUAUUUAUCAGGUUGUCAGGAUGGCGAUUAACGGAUGAAUGAGCUGAGAAAAUGGAU
Molecule: long non-coding RNA, 396 nt
Organism: Olea europaea var. sylvestris
Lineage: Eukaryota; Viridiplantae; Streptophyta; Magnoliopsida; Lamiales; Oleaceae
Exons: 3
Source: RefSeq, a predicted model, not a curated record